Molecule: transfer RNA, 72 nt
Filed under: Bos taurus (domestic cattle)
Lineage: Eukaryota; Metazoa; Chordata; Mammalia; Artiodactyla; Bovidae
Also listed under: 4 other names
Rfam family: tRNA
About the family: Transfer RNA (tRNA) molecules are approximately 80 nucleotides in length. Their secondary structure includes four short double-helical elements and three loops (D, anti-codon, and T loops).
Source: Rfam by way of RNAcentral
UCCCUUGUAACUCAGUUGGUAAAGAACCUGCCUACAAUUCAGGAGACCCAGGUUUGAUUUCUGGUUUGGGAA